CUACGGGUGGCUGCAGUGGGGAAUAUUGCACAAUGGGCGCAAGCCUGAUGCAGCCAUGCCGCGUGUGUGCAGCAGGCCUUCGGGUUGUAAAGCACUUUCAGCGGGGAGGAAGGCGGUGAGGUUAAUAACCUCAUCGAUUGACGUUACCCGCAGAAGAAGCACCGGCUAACUCCGUGCCAGCAGCCGCGGUAAUACGGAGGGUGCAAGCGUUAAUCGGAAUUACUGGGCGUAAAGCGCACGCAGGCGGUCUGUCAAGUCGGAUGUGAAAUCCCCGGGCUCAACCUGGGAACUGCAUUCGAAACUGGCAGGCUAGAGUCUUGUAGAGGGGGGUAGAAUUCCAGGUGUAGCGGUGAAAUGCGUAGAGAUCUGGAGGAAUACCGGUGGCGAAGGCGGCCCCCUGGACAAAGACUGACGCUCAGGUGCGAAAGCGUGGGGAGCAAACAGGAUUAGAUACCCCAGUAGUC
RNAcentral lists this ribosomal RNA (464 nucleotides) under uncultured Klebsiella sp. RNAcentral's name for it is "bacterial SSU rRNA". It matches the Rfam family "Bacterial small subunit ribosomal RNA", at positions 339 to 795 of the family's 1533-position model. Lineage: Bacteria; Pseudomonadati; Pseudomonadota; Gammaproteobacteria; Enterobacterales; Enterobacteriaceae. The record is from RNAcentral.